RNAcentral lists this ribosomal RNA (216 nucleotides) under uncultured bacterium. Its description in RNAcentral is "partial 16S ribosomal RNA". It matches the Rfam family "Bacterial small subunit ribosomal RNA", at positions 524 to 737 of the family's 1533-position model. The record is from RNAcentral.
UACGUAGGGUGCGAGCGUUGUUCGGAAUUACUGGGCGUAAAGCGCACGUAGGCGGAUCUUUAAGUCAGGGGGUGAAAUCCUGGAGCUCAACUCCAGAACUGCCUUUGAUACUGGGGAUCUCGAGUCCGGAAGAGGUAAGUGGAACUCCGAGUGUAGAGGUGAAAUUCGUAGAUAUUCGGAAGAACACCGAGUGGCGAAGGCGGCUUACUGGUCCGG